Molecule: transfer RNA, 87 nt
Filed under: Gammaproteobacteria bacterium
Lineage: Bacteria; Pseudomonadati; Pseudomonadota; Gammaproteobacteria
Description: tRNA-Leu
Rfam family: tRNA
About the family: Transfer RNA (tRNA) molecules are approximately 80 nucleotides in length. Their secondary structure includes four short double-helical elements and three loops (D, anti-codon, and T loops). Further hydrogen bonds mediate the characteristic L-shaped molecular structure. tRNAs have two regions of fundamental functional importance: the anti-codon, which is responsible for specific mRNA codon recognition, and the 3' end, to which the tRNAs corresponding amino acid is attached (by aminoacyl-tRNA synthetases). tRNAs cope with the degeneracy of the genetic code in two manners: having more than one tRNA (with a specific anti-codon) for a particular amino acid; and 'wobble' base-pairing, i.e. permitting non-standard base-pairing at the 3rd anti-codon position.
Source: RNAcentral
GCCGGGAUGGCGGAACUGGUAGACGCGCCAGACUCAAAAUCUGGUAUGGGUGACCAUGUGGGGGUUCGAUUCCCCCUCCCGGUACCA